RNAcentral lists this ribosomal RNA (639 nucleotides) under Staphylococcus arlettae. RNAcentral describes it as "bacterial SSU rRNA". It matches the Rfam family "Bacterial small subunit ribosomal RNA", at positions 67 to 689 of the family's 1533-position model. The record is from RNAcentral. Lineage: Bacteria; Bacillati; Bacillota; Bacilli; Caryophanales; Staphylococcaceae.
CGACAGAUAAGGAGCUUGCUCCUUUGACGUUAGCGGCGGACGGGUGAGUAACACGUGGGUAACCUACCUAUAAGACUGGAAUAACUCCGGGAAACCGGGGCUAAUGCCGGAUAACAUUUAGAACCGCAUGGUUCUAAAGUGAAAGAUGGUUUUGCUAUCACUUAUAGAUGGACCCGCGCCGUAUUAGCUAGUUGGUAAGGUAAUGGCUUACCAAGGCAACGAUACGUAGCCGACCUGAGAGGGUGAUCGGCCACACUGGAACUGAGACACGGUCCAGACUCCUACGGGAGGCAGCAGUAGGGAAUCUUCCGCAAUGGGCGAAAGCCUGACGGAGCAACGCCGCGUGAGUGAUGAAGGGUUUCGGCUCGUAAAACUCUGUUAUUAGGGAAGAACAAACGUGUAAGUAACUGUGCACGUCUUGACGGUACCUAAUCAGAAAGCCACGGCUAACUACGUGCCAGCAGCCGCGGUAAUACGUAGGUGGCAAGCGUUAUCCGGAAUUAUUGGGCGUAAAGCGCGCGUAGGCGGUUUCUUAAGUCUGAUGUGAAAGCCCACGGCUCAACCGUGGAGGGUCAUUGGAAACUGGGAGACUUGACUGCACAAAAGGAAAGUGGAAUUCCAUGUGUAGCGGUGAAAUGC